GACGAACGCUGGCGGCGUGCUUAACACAUGCCAGUCGAACGGUGAAGCGCCUUCCUUUUUGGUGGGUGUGGAUGAGUGGCGAACGGGUGGGUAACACGUGAGUAACCUGCCCCCUUCUUCUGGAUAACCGCAUGAAAGUGUGGCUAAUACGGGAUAUUCUGGGUCUGUCGCAUGAUGGGUCUGGGAAAGAUUUUGUUUCGGUGGGGGAUGGGCUCGCGGCCUAUCAGCUUGUUGGUGGGGUGAUGGCCUACCAAGGCGGUGACGGGUAGCCGGCCUGAGAGGGUGGACGGUCACACUGGGACGGAGACACGGACCAGACUCCGACGGGAGGCAGCAGUGGGGAAUAUUGCACAAUGGGCGCAAGCCUGAUGCAGCGACGCCGCGUGAGGGAUGGAGGCCUUCGGGUUGUGAACCUCUUUCGCCAGUGAAGCAGGCCUGCCUCGUUUGUGGGUGGGUUGACGGUAGCUGGAUAAGAAGCGCCGGCUAACUACGUG
RNAcentral lists this ribosomal RNA (494 nucleotides) under uncultured bacterium. RNAcentral's name for it is "partial 16S ribosomal RNA". It matches the Rfam family "Bacterial small subunit ribosomal RNA", at positions 28 to 507 of the family's 1533-position model. The record is from RNAcentral.